Molecule: long non-coding RNA, 778 nt
Organism: Ixodes scapularis (black-legged tick)
Lineage: Eukaryota; Metazoa; Arthropoda; Arachnida; Ixodida; Ixodidae
Exons: 3
Source: RefSeq, a predicted model, not a curated record
GGCGUUGCCGGGACCGGCUCAACCCGUUGGAGCAUUUCAACGACUGGGAGUUUCUGGUGCGAUAUCGUUUUACGAAAUCGACAGUAGUAAGCCUUCUCCAGUGCCUGCCGCUGGAAGCAAACGAGAGCAGUCGCGGCCUGCCACUGUCCCCGAUGCUCCAGCUCCUCGUAGCGCUGAGAUUUUAUGGCGCCGGGACUUUUCAAGUAGUUACGGGCGACCUCGUUAACGUGUCGCAGCCGACGGUGUGCCGCGUAAUCGAGCGCGUCUCCCGGGUCCUCGCCGAGACUCUCUUCCCCCGCCUCGUGGAUUUCCCGGAGGGCGACUGCGACGAGGUCAUGCGGGAUUUCUACAACAUCGGGAAGUUCCCCAGUGUGACUGGGUGCAUCGACUGCACCCACGUCAAAAUAAAGGGACCUGGCGGUCCCAAUGGGGAAGUCUUCAGGAACAGGAAGGGGUUCUUCUCCCUCAACGUGCAGGCCAUCACAGGACCCCAGCUGCAGUUUUUUGACCUUGUUGCUAGAUGGCCAGGCUCCGUGCAUGACAGCAGGAUAUUCGAUAACAGUCGUGCAAGGGUCCUGUACGAGAAUCGGCGCAUCCCUGGCCUGCUGCUCGGAGAUGCAGGCUAUGCCUGCAUGUAAUUUCUUCUGACGCCCCUGACCAGCCCAGGUGUAGCCAACAGCCCAAAGGGCAGGUACCAAGCAGCUCACCUAAAAACAAGGAACUCGGUCGAACGGGCAUUUGGAGUGUUCAAGCGACGCUUCCCAUGCCUGGACAUGCG